GGCUCAGAGGAGGGACCAGGCAAGGACCAGUCAGGAGGCAGAGCUGUCCCCAAGCGAGCCAUGCAGAGGGUCUGCCCCUUCAUCCACCUCACCCUCUUCUGGGCAGGAGUCAUGUCACCUGCCGUGUUGGUGCCUCAAGACCAAGAAAAGACUGUGCCUGUGGGGAAAUCUGUCACCCUCAGUUGCUCCAUGAAAGGAGACUCCAUCAGUAAACACUAUAUUUUCUGGUACAGGAAGACCCCGGGUAACACAAUGACUUUCAUAUACCGAGAAGGGGGUACAUAUGGCCCUGGGUUUGAGGACAACUUCCGAGGUAAAAUUGAUGGUUUAACCAACCAGGCCAUGCUGGAGGUCCUGAAGGCAUCAAAGAGAGAUGAAGGAUUUUACUACUGUGCCAGUAUUACCACCCUGCUGCAGGUUCACUUCUAAGCAACUCAAUAAACACAGAGAUCUAAGUGGAACAGCAUUUUCAACAAGAGCAUGACUUUCUCUUGAAGAAAUAGUUUAACAAACGGAGGCCAGAGAAGGCUGAUGUCCAUGCCUUUCCUUCAGGUUCAGUGGCUCAUAUCCUGCCCACAAGCUCCUGUGGUGCUUAGAUAAGCAAUCCCUAAUGGGGUGCGGCCCAGUGUGGGGCAGGAGAGAAGAGACAGAACAAGAGUCAGAAAUUGUAGCAUUUACUGUACACCCCUAACAGUUUUCUUGGAGCUUCAUAAAAGAUUUGGCUACACAGCCUGAAGUACUUAGGAUAUGAUGUAAAGAAUAUGACUAUGGCAAGCUCCAGUUUCUCCCCAACCAUAUACACCAGGAAUUUAGCUGUCCUCGAUGAGCAGGGCUGGGAACGUGGAAAGACUUCUUCAUUCCUUUGGCGUCAAUGAGACACAAGGCCUGUCAUCAUCCCAACAUGGAGGAGGUCCAGUCACUGAAUCAUCUGCGGGGACCAUAAGAAGCACCGGGAACUCCCUAAGGACCAUCUGCAAUGCCUCUGGGUUUAACUUUCCAGUAGGUCACUCACAGUAGUUCACUCUUCUGGGUGAACUACUACCUUCAAGUUCUAGAAAGACCGCAUGAAUUUUCUUUCUAAAAUUAAUCCCUUCGGACUAAGGUUAAGCAUUUCAAAUUUUCCUUGGAGGGAAGAUUUAUUCUCACUAUGAACAACAUCAGCAAUCACUUAUAUUUACAAACAAACAGACUGAAACCAGAGGCUGAGUAUUCUUGUGCUUUCACCACUACGAACCACAAAGAAACUGAGGGGGGUUGAAAUCUCCCUAGUAAGCAGAAUAAAAAGGAGAAUCUGCAUGUAAAUCAGUGAUCUUUCCCCAGCUGGAUCUCGCUGUCCCAGACCUACACCUCCAUCUUAAUCAUACUUGGUCCUCUGUUAUUUUCAUCUGAAAUGGUCUCUUUGCUUUGCUAUUUUGAACUUUCCCAAUCUUUUCAUCUUCCAACUUACUGCAUCCAGAGGUGGCUGGGCCAAAGGGUGAAAAUAGAUGUGAUGGUACCCUAAGGAACCAGCCUUGAAUGACCCUUUCAGAAGUCCUGCUGGCCAGAAGGCUUGUUCUGAAUGAUGACAGGUGGUCAGAAAGUUAAACGCAUAUCUGCCUCUCAUGUGAAGCUGACCAUGCGCCAUGGAUGCUUUUAUUAGCCCUUGAAUUCUAGAACUUUGGAGAAAAGAGACAGAAAGAGCAAAACAUAUAAUUAUACUAACAGGAAAGAAAGAUGAGAGUGGGAUUUUCUGAGUUUCAGAUAAACACGUUCUAUAAUCCUUCCCACAUUUCAGAUCUGUGAAAACAUCCUUAUCGUGUUAACCGAGUUUCCUGGCACAGUUUAAGUAGGCGUAUUUUCCUCUCUUAAAUAGGUGGCAAUAUAGUGCAGAUAACAAAAGUGAUUAUACAAGAAUAAAUAUGCUUAUCAUUCACAAAAAUAUUAAAAUGUGUUGAACUUAGCAAUCACCUGAAAAUGGUCCCUCAUGUUGGUAAGGUCUUUUUACCUAUCUUGAUAUGAACAAGUUUAAAUAUUUGGUCUAAAAAAUUUAGUCUAUAAGCUGCAUAUGUGUUUUUGUACAUGAGUUCUUUGAAUUGUAAAAAGAGCAUGGGUGGUGGAAUCAGACAAAAGUAAGAAAGAAUCAUAGCUCCUCAUU
This is a non-coding RNA of Odocoileus virginianus texanus, 2134 nucleotides long. NCBI's taxonomy places the organism in Eukaryota, Metazoa, Chordata, Mammalia, Artiodactyla, Cervidae. The record is from RefSeq and is a predicted model, not a curated record.